Molecule: ribosomal RNA, 1948 nt
Filed under: human gut metagenome
Description: bacterial LSU rRNA
Rfam family: Bacterial large subunit ribosomal RNA
Source: RNAcentral
UUAAGUGACUAAGCGUACAAGGUGGAUGCCUUGGCAAUCAGAGGCGACGAAGGACGUGCUAAUCUGCGAAAAGCUUGGAUGAGUCGAUAAGAGGCGUUUAAUCCAAGAUGUCCGAAUGGGGAAACCCAGUAGAUGAAGAAUCUACUAUCACUUACUGAAUCCAUAGGUAAGUGAGGCAAACCGGGAGAACUGAAACAUCUAAGUACCCCGAGGAAAAGAAAUCAACCGAGAUUUCGUUAGUAGCGGCGAGCGAACGCGAAGGAGCCUGUUAGUGAUAAUGACAGAGACAGAGGAACAAGCUGGGAAGCUUGGCGAUACAGGGUGAUAGCCCCGUACUCGAAGUCCAGGUCAUGGUACUAAGCUAACGAUAAGUAGGGCGGGACACGUGAUAUCCUGUUUGAAGAUGGGGGGACCAUCCUCCAAGGCUAAAUACUCCUGAUUGACCGAUAGUGAACCAGUACUGUGAAGGAAAGGCGAAAAGAACCCCGGUGAGGGGAGUGAAAUAGAACCUGAAACCUUGUACGUACAAGCAGUGGGAGCCCUUUAAGGGUGACUGCGUACCUUUUGUAUAAUGGGUCAGCGACUUAUAUUUUGUAGCGAGGUUAACCGAAUAGGGGAGCCGAAGGGAAACCGAGUCUUAACUGGGCGUCUAGUUGCAAGGUAUAGACCCGAAACCCGGUGAUCUAGCCAUGGGCAGGUUGAAGGUUGGGUAACACUAACUGGAGGACCGAACCGACUAAUGUUGAAAAAUUAGCGGAUGACUUGUGGCUGGGGGUGAAAGGCCAAUCAAACCGGGAGAUAGCUGGUUCUCCCCGAAAGCUAUUUAGGUAGCGCCUCGUGAAUUCAUCUCCGGGGGUAGAGCACUGUUUCGGCAAGGGGGUCAUCCCGACUUACCAACCCGAUGCAAACUGCGAAUACCGGAGAAUGUUAUCACGGGAGACACACGGCGGGUGCUAACGUCCGUCGUGAAGAGGGAAACAACCCAGACCGCCAGCUAAGGUCCCAAAGUCAUGGUUAAGUGGGAAACGAUGUGGGAAGGCCCAGACAGCCAGGAUGUUGGCUUAGAAGCAGCCAUCAUUUAAAGAAAGCGUAAUAGCUCACUGGUCGAGUCGGCCUGCGCGGAAGAUGUAACGGGGCUAAACCAUGCACCGAAGCUGCGGCAGCGACGCUUAUGCGUUGUUGGGUAGGGGAGCGUUCUGUAAGCCUGCGAAGGUGUGCUGUGAGGCAUGCUGGAGGUAUCAGAAGUGCGAAUGCUGACAUAAGUAACGAUAAAGCGGGUGAAAAGCCCGCUCGCCGGAAGACCAAGGGUUCCUGUCCAACGUUAAUCGGGGCAGGGUGAGUCGACCCCUAAGGCGAGGCCGAAAGGCGUAGUCGAUGGGAAACAGGUUAAUAUUCCUGUACUUGGUGUUACUGCGAAGGGGGGACGGAGAAGGCUAUGUUGGCCGGGCGACGGUUGUCCCGGUUUAAGCGUGUAGGCUGGUUUUCCAGGCAAAUCCGGAAAAUCAAGGCUGAGGCGUGAUGACGAGGCACUACGGUGCUGAAGCAACAAAUGCCCUGCUUCCAGGAAAAGCCUCUAAGCAUCAGGUAACAUCAAAUCGUACCCCAAACCGACACAGGUGGUCAGGUAGAGAAUACCAAGGCGCUUGAGAGAACUCGGGUGAAGGAACUAGGCAAAAUGGUGCCGUAACUUCGGGAGAAGGCACGCUGAUAUGUAGGUGAAGUCCCUCGCGGAUGGAGCUGAAAUCAGUCGAAGAUACCAGCUGGCUGCAACUGUUUAUUAAAAACACAGCACUGUGCAAACACGAAAGUGGACGUAUACGGUGUGACGCCUGCCCGGUGCCGGAAGGUUAAUUGAUGGGGUCAGCGCAAGCGAAGCUCUUGAUCGAAGCCCCGGUAAACGGCGGCCGUAACUAUAACGGUCCUAAGGUAGCGAAAUUCCUUGUCGGGU